Molecule: ribosomal RNA, 336 nt
Filed under: uncultured Acholeplasma sp.
Lineage: Bacteria; Bacillati; Mycoplasmatota; Mollicutes; Acholeplasmatales; Acholeplasmataceae
Description: bacterial SSU rRNA
Rfam family: Bacterial small subunit ribosomal RNA
Source: RNAcentral
CAUGGUUGUCGUCAGCUCGUGUCGUGAGAUGUGGUUAAGUCCCGCAACGAGCGCAACCCCUAUUGCUAGUUACCAUCAUUAAGUUUGGGGACUCUAGCGAGACUGCCAGUGAUAAACUGGAGGAAGGUGGGGAUGACGUCAAAUCAUCAUGCCCCUUAUGACCUGGGCUACAAACGUGAUACAAUGGCUGGAACAAAGGGAUGCGAAGCAGUGAUGUGGAGCGAAACCCAUAAAAACAGUCUCAGUUCGGAUUGAAGUCUGCAACUCGACUUCAUGAAGUCGGAAUCGCUAGUAAUCGCGGAUCAGAACGCCGCGGUGAAUACGUUCUCGGGGUUU